UCAAGUUCCUCUUCUGUAGAACUGCCUUGGAUUUCUGGGGAUUCACUUCAGGCCCUAUUCAUCCGGUUUGCUCCCAUGCUUGGAGAUGUCACUUGAGAAGGCUGGAGAAUAGCAAAGGCAAUAGGAAGGCCCAAGAAGAGGAAGAAAGAUUGAGGAAAUGGCCAGUUUGUGCAGCAGUCAGAACAUACGCAUUUACUGAUUAAGCUUGCUGUUAUAUAUGGAUGCAGUUUGUGGCACCUCAAAAUAAUUACAAAAGCAACAUUAAAGAUCACUGAUCACAAAUCACCAUAACAUAUAUAAUAAGAAUGGAAAAGUUUGGUAUAUUGCAAACAUGACCAAACUGUGACACAGAGACACAAAGUGAGUGCACGGUGUUUAAAAAAAUGGUGCAAUAGACUUACUCAACACAGGGUUGCCACAUAUCUUCAAUAUGUAAAAAAUGCAAAGUCUGCAAAGUGCAAUAAAGAAAAGCAUAAUACAAUGAAGUAUGCCUAUAGAUAAUUGCCAAUGACUCAUGUUCAGGAUUACAGAAAAAUGAGUGUUGUUGCUUUGAGAAGGAAAGGGUCCUGGGUCUGGGGUAUCAUAAGAAGUCAUAUCAGAAUGGAUAGAAACCAGAGGCUUGGUAAGAUGCUUCCCUUAAAAUGUCAGAAGGUAAAACUGUCAGAAACACCAUUGCCAGCACUCCUGAGCCUGGCAUGAGACUGAGGACCUUAAAUGUAGUGGCUAUAUAUCUCUCGUGUUCUGCUGUAGCCCUGAAUCCUGGCACAGAUCUGGAGUUCAAUAAAUCUUUGCUGAACUUUUUAAUAA
This is a long non-coding RNA of Homo sapiens (human), 807 nucleotides long. RefSeq lists it as uncharacterized. The record is from RefSeq and is a predicted model, not a curated record. Lineage: Eukaryota; Metazoa; Chordata; Mammalia; Primates; Hominidae. The transcript has 2 exons.